RNAcentral lists this long non-coding RNA (608 nucleotides) under Gadus morhua (Atlantic cod). RNAcentral's name for it is "lncRNA (ENSGMOG00000030026.1)". Lineage: Eukaryota; Metazoa; Chordata; Actinopteri; Gadiformes; Gadidae. The record is from RNAcentral.
UAGCAACAUCAUUCCGGAACUGCGAUCCACCCCGUGCCAGAGAUGUGCUGUACCGCCUGUGAGCGUGAGACCGAUGGCUGGACGAUAGCGUAGCUAAUGCCUCCCUUCCCCUAUCAAGGGGCCUGUCUCUUACCUCUACGCAUUUGACCUGUGGCUGCUUUUUGUCUCGUUUCUCGCCAUCAAGCUGCGCCACACCAACAUCUACGAGAGGGACGUGGGCUGGGGUCGCAGGGGUCUGGACCCCGAACACAACCGGUCCCACCAGUUCUACACCGAGCGCAUCUGCGCCCACUUCAAACGGACGGCCCUCAGCUCCCUCAACAAAGCCAUGGUGGUGAGCCAGGCCCGGGAGCCCUUUGACGUGGUCAGGAGGAAAGAGGUGAAGCGCCGGCUGUGGGAAGAGGUCCAGUACCACAGAGACCACCGGGACGCCCUGGCCAGGAAGUGCCUGUUGAGGCAGGACUUCCUGUCUGAGGUACAGAGGGCCGCCGCAGAGACCCCGGGGCGAGGGCCCCUGCUACUGCUGGGGGCUCCUGGUUCGGGGAAGAGCUGCGUCCUGGCCAGGGCCUCACAGCUACUCUGCACUCGUCUACCUGGGUGAGCCCCCC